ACCUGUAUCGAAAGGUGAUCGUGGCGUCCUCGUAGCCCGGUCAUUUAAAAACUACAGGGAGAUAAACCUGCAAGCCUUUCCCGUGUUUGAAGGACUGUCCGUUCCUGUCAGACCCUGGUGCUGUCAGACA
This is a small nucleolar RNA of Parambassis ranga (Indian glassy fish), 130 nucleotides long. Its record names the gene SNORA71. It matches the Rfam family "Small nucleolar RNA SNORA71". Rfam says of the family: The members of this family belong to the H/ACA class of snoRNAs which bind a number of proteins (including dyskerin, Gar1p and Nop10p) to form snoRNP complexes. This class of snoRNAs are thought to guide the sites of modification of uridines to pseudouridines by forming direct base pairing interactions with substrate RNAs. The record is from Ensembl. Lineage: Eukaryota; Metazoa; Chordata; Actinopteri; Ambassidae.